RNAcentral lists this ribosomal RNA (508 nucleotides) under Mycobacterium tuberculosis. Its description in RNAcentral is "partial 23S ribosomal RNA". It matches the Rfam family "Bacterial large subunit ribosomal RNA", at positions 322 to 833 of the family's 2925-position model. The record is from RNAcentral. Lineage: Bacteria; Bacillati; Actinomycetota; Actinomycetes; Mycobacteriales; Mycobacteriaceae.
GAACAUGUUAGACGAAUCAUCUGGAAAGAUGAAUCAAAGAAGGUAAUAAUCCUGUAGUCGAAAACAUAUUCUCUCUUGAGUGGAUCCUGAGUACGACGGAGCACGUGAAAUUCCGUCGGAAUCUGGGAGGACCAUCUCCUAAGGCUAAAUACUCUCUAGUGACCGAUAGUGAACCAGUACCGUGAGGGAAAGGUGAAAAGUACCCCGGAAGGGGAGUGAAAGAGAACUUGAAACCGUGUGCUUACAAGUAGUCAGAGCCCGUUAAUGGGUGAUGGCGUGCCUUUUGUAGAAUGAACCGGCGAGUUACGAUCUGAUGCAAGGUUAAGCAGCAAAUGUGGAGCCGCAGCGAAAGCGAGUCUGAAUAGGGCGUUGAGUAUUUGGUCGUAGACCCGAAACCAGGUGAUCUACCCUUGGUCAGGUUGAAGUUCAGGUAACACUGAAUGGAGGACCGAACCGACUUACGUUGAAAAGUGAGCGGAUGAACUGAGGGUAGCGGAGAAAUUCCAAU